This 507-nucleotide ribosomal RNA is filed under the name uncultured organism. Its description in RNAcentral is "bacterial SSU rRNA". It matches the Rfam family "Bacterial small subunit ribosomal RNA", at positions 1 to 495 of the family's 1533-position model. The record is from RNAcentral.
UGGAUCCAGACUUUGAUUAUGGCUCAGGAUGAACGCUAGCUACAGGCUUAACACAUGCAAGUCGAGGGGAAACGACAUCGAAAGCUUGCUUUUUAUGGGCGUCGACCGGCGCACGGGUGAGUAACGCGUAUCCAACCUGCCCACCACUUGGGGAUAACCUUGCGAAAGUAAGACUAAUACCCAAUGACGUCUCUAGAAGACAUCUGAAAGAGAUUAAAGAUUUAUCGGUGAUGGAUGGGGAUGCGUCUGAUUAGCUUGUUGGCGGGGUAACGGCCCACCAAGGCGACGAUCAGUAGGGGUUCUGAGAGGAAGGUCCCCCACAUUGGAACUGAGACACGGUCCAAACUCCUACGGGAGGCAGCAGUGAGGAAUAUUGGUCAAUGGGCGAGAGCCUGAACCAGCCAAGUAGCGUGCAGGAUGACGGCCCUAUGGGUUGUAAACUGCUUUUAUAAGGGAAUAAAGUGAGUCUCGUGAGACUUUUUGCAUGUACCUUAUGAAUAAGGACCG